CCGAUGGCGACCGGCGCACGGGUGAGUAACACGUAUCCAACCUGCCGUCUACUCUUGGACAGCCUUCUGAAAGGAAGAUUAAUACAAGAUGGCAUCAUGAGUCCGCAUGUUCACAUGAUUAAAGGUAUUCCGGUAGACGAUGGGGAUGCGUUCCAUUAGAUAGUAGGCGGGGUAACGGCCCACCUAGUCUUCGAUGGAUAGGGGUUCUGAGAGGAAGGUCCCCCACAUUGGAACUGAGACACGGUCCAAACUCCUACGGGAGGCAGCAGUGAGGAAUAUUGGUCAAUGGGCGAGAGCCUGAACCAGCCAAGUAGCGUGAAGGAUGACUGCCCUAUGGGUUGUAAACUUCUUUUAUAAAGGAAUAAAGUCGGGUAUGUAUACCCGUUUGCAUGUACUUUAUGAAUAAGGAUCGGCUAACUCCGUGCCAGCAGCCGCGGUAAUACGGAGGAUCCGAGCGUUAUCCGGAUUUAUUGGGUUUAAAGGGAGCGUAGAUGGAUGUUUAAGUCAGUUGUGAAAGUUUGCGGCUCAACCGUAAAAUUGCAGUUGAUACUGGAUAUCUUGAGUGCAGUUGAGGCAGGCGGAAUUCGUGGUGUAGCGGUGAAAUGCUUAGAUAUCACGAAGAACUCCGAUUGCGAAG
RNAcentral lists this ribosomal RNA (637 nucleotides) under uncultured Bacteroidales bacterium. RNAcentral describes it as "bacterial SSU rRNA". It matches the Rfam family "Bacterial small subunit ribosomal RNA", at positions 85 to 720 of the family's 1533-position model. Lineage: Bacteria; Pseudomonadati; Bacteroidota; Bacteroidia; Bacteroidales. The record is from RNAcentral.